UACAGAGGUGGCAAGCGUUGUUCGGAAUUACUGGGCGUAAAGGGCGCGUAGGCGGUCUUUUAAGUUCCGUGUGAAAUCCCUCGGCUCAACUGGGGAACUGCACGGGAAACUGGAGGGCUUGAGUACAGAAGAGGAUCGCGGAAUUCCCGGUGUAGAGGUGAAAUUCGUAGAUAUCGGGAGGAACACCGGUGGCGAAGGCGGCCAUCUGGACGGAUACUGACGCUGAGACGCGAAAGCGUGGGUAGCAAACAGG
This 253-nucleotide ribosomal RNA is filed under the name uncultured bacterium. RNAcentral describes it as "partial 16S ribosomal RNA". It matches the Rfam family "Bacterial small subunit ribosomal RNA", at positions 524 to 776 of the family's 1533-position model. The record is from RNAcentral.